GUGAAUCAUCGAAUUUUUGAACGCAUAUUGCACUCUCUGGUAUUCCGGAGAGUAUGCCUGUUUGAGGGUCAGUUAAUAAAAAAUCGGGUUUGUUUGCUCCCUUUCGUGGUGACGUACCGGAUUUGGGUCGUCUUGCCUUUGGUUAAGUGACUUAAAAUUUUGCUUUGUUAUUUUCCGAAGUUAUUUUUUGUUGUUACGUAUUUUUA
Molecule: unclassified non-coding RNA, 206 nt
Filed under: Glomeromycotina sp.
Lineage: Eukaryota; Fungi; Glomeromycota
Description: partial contains 5.8S ribosomal RNA and internal transcribed spacer 2
Rfam family: 5.8S ribosomal RNA (bases 1-71)
Source: RNAcentral